RNAcentral lists this ribosomal RNA (771 nucleotides) under uncultured bacterium. RNAcentral's name for it is "bacterial SSU rRNA". It matches the Rfam family "Bacterial small subunit ribosomal RNA", at positions 8 to 796 of the family's 1533-position model. The record is from RNAcentral.
AGAGUUUGAUCCUGGCUCAGGACGAACGCUGGCGGCGUGCUUAACACAUGCAAGUCGAACGGAAAGGCCCUUCGGGGUACUCGAGUGGCGAACGGGUGAGUAACACGUGGGUGAUCUGCCCUGCACUUUGGGAUAAGCCUGGGAAACUGGGUCUAAUACCGAAUAUGACCAUGCGCCUCCUGGUGUGUGGUGGAAAGCUUUUGCGGUGUGGGAUGGGCCCGCGGCCUAUCAGCUUGUUGGUGGGGUAAUGGCCUACCAAGGCGACGACGGGUAGCCGGCCUGAGAGGGUGACCGGCCACACUGGGACUGAGAUACGGCCCAGACUCCUACGGGAGGCAGCAGUGAGGAAUAUUGCACAAUGGGCGCAAGCCUGAUGCAGCGACGCCGCGUGAGGGAUGACGGCCUUCGGGUUGUAAACCUCUUUCAGCACAGACGAAGCGCAAGUGACGGUAUGUGCAGAAGAAGGACCGGCCAACUACGUGCCAGCAGCCGCGGUAAUACGUAGGGUCCGAGCGUUGUCCGGAAUUAAUGGGCGUAAAGAGCUCGUAGGUGGUUUGUCGCGUUGUUCGUGAAAACUCACAGCUUAACUGUGGGCGUGCGGGCGAUACGGGCAGACUUGAGUACUGCAGGGGAGACUGGAAUUCCUGGUGUAGCGGUGGAAUGCGCAGAUAUCAGGAGGAACACCGGUGGCGAAGGCGGGUCUCUGGGCAGUAACUGACGCUGAGGAGCGAAAGCGUGGGGAGCGAACAGGAUUAGAUACCCUGGUAGUCC